AGGAGACGUCGGGGGCCGCCGCCGCUCGGCGCUCGUUUCUUUCUCGUCUGGGGCGCCCGCGGCCGAGAGGCUCCCCGGCUCUGCCGCUCGCUCUUCCUUCGCUCCCUCACAGGAGCCACACACUGGGCUACCUAACGCUUCAGACGUGCACAGCUUCUGCCUUCGCCCUUUCCAAGCCCGCCCUGCUCCUCCCAACUUCCGUGUGGUGUUAGGUACCGACUACUAAUAGCACGACUGGACCUAAUGGUCAGGGGUCCCUUUACCUUUUACUACUAGCCCCAUUUGGCGAGGAGGGGGUGCACGGUUUGCCCGAGGCGGGCGAGUGAAUCUUUUGAACCGCGAGGUGAAAUUUGAACUCAGGUUCAACGCUCAGCUCCUUGCGCAGGAUACUGUCUUGAGUCUAAAAAGGGGCACAAGAGUGCCCUUUGAGUUAUAAGGUGAGUAGGAAGGAAAGCAUGCAGGGUGUGACAUUGCAAGCCUCAAAGUUAUGGCAGUUUAUAAAAAUGACAACUGCCAAGCCAUAUAUAUACUUGGCAUAUCAGCUACCUGCCCCUGAGCCAGACAAGCAUAUCGGCAAGGCAGCUACGGCAAUGGCUCGCCUCUCCAAAAGGGUACGGGAGAAAGCAAUGCAAAGGUCCAAUACCAAGAUGAAGGUCUACCAGGCUUGUGUGUUGAGCAUGCUCUUUUUGGAAGUGAGUCAUGGGCAACUUAAGAUCAUCAGGAACAUGACCUCAACACCUUCCACAUGUGCCACAUCAGGAAGGUUUUGGGCAUCACAUGGCAGGACAGAGUUUCAGGCAGAAAUGCGCUCUCCCAAGCCCAUAUUCACAGCAAGUUCGUACUCCUUUCUCAGCGACGUCUACGCUGGCUUGGUCAUGUCCACAGAAUGGAAGAUGGCAAGAUCCCCAGGGAGCUGGCUUCAAGCACCAGGCCAAAUGGCAGACCAACUCUGGUUAAGAGCUCUGCAAACGUAACAUGAAGGUUGGCAAUGUGGAAAUCCCUUAUAGAUAAACGCAGCACUUGGAGACAGUCAGGUCAUGUAUCCACAGCAGUGACCAAAGCAGAAAUGCCUGCUGGGGGCAGCACAGAAACAAGAAACGCCAUGGUGCACCUCCAUCAGCGCAACUGGACGCCUUCAUCUGCCCCAACUGCAAUAAAACAUGACUCUCUUGUAUCUGUCUCUAGCCACAGCAGGUGCUGUAACUCUCCAGCGGUUUGACUUUACCCUUCCAUUGUCUCCCAACACAGAUGGAUGACAACCAAAAUAAGGUUUAUGGAUGUGCCAGAUUCAAAAUUGUUCCAAUAAUAAUUUAUACAGGCCCAAAUUCAAAUAAGGAAGAUGAAGCACUUAUGUUGCCCUUGUCCUGUUUUGCCUUAUGAAGCACCUGAGCCUCAUUAGAUAAAUCAAUCUGUGAGUAUGGAUGGUGUAUAAGAUCAGAAUUCAAGAGAUUCUGCUUAAGGGUCAACACCCAGCUCUCCCCCCCCCCCGAGCUUUCUAUGUACUCUUAAAAGCAGCCUCUGGAGGAGUAUCAAAGUUGCAGCACUGCAGAAGGACUUAACCUUAUCCCAUGCUGUUUUCCUGAUCUAAAGGUGGGGCAAAUAGCAGCUUUGGAGAGGGCUGUUUACAUCAAUCCAAAUCAGUUACUUAUAAGAAAAAAAUAGAAACAUCCUCUCAUCAAGUUUGGCCUCUUAAAAUACUUUUUUUACAGGAAACUUUUUAAGACAUUGGCAUUAUCUAAGUAUGUUAAUGAAUUAAUUUACUUUUUCAUACACACUUAGUUAACAUUAAGGAACCUAAAAUGUGGUCAGGUCCACCAGGCUAUAUUGGUCCACUUCCCUUUUUUCCUUUUGGCCCAAAGGACUUCAAUAUUCUUAAUUUCUUUGUGCACAUGAGCAAAACUAAUUUCCCCAGAACUGUGCUUAAGCUUCCCCUUUUCAGCAAUUGUAGUAAAAUCAUCUCAAUAAAACUAACAGCUUGUAUUAAUUCCUGCUCCCACCUGAACAAUUUAACUUUAUUAAGAACAGCAAUUCCUCUUAAUUGACCAAAAUAAAAUUGGUGCAUAUUCACCAGUCCACUUCUGUCUCCUAAUUUUUCUAAUUCAGACACUUGUUCACAUAAAACAAUAAGGCUGCAUAUAAUUUAUGCACCUGAAAAAGUCAAAAUCCUCUUGUAUUGGACAAUCUUUCACUAAACAAUAAUAGGUGAGCACUCUGGACUUAGUUUCUGUCAUCCCUAUCACAUUAUUAUUCAUGUGUAUGAUAUCUUUAAAAACUAAUAAGCCUUAGAUAUAGAUAUGAUUUUGGAAAAUGACAAAUACUGAAUAGAAAAGAUGAUUUCAUGGUAGCUGAAUAGCUGAAAGUGGACAUUUUUGCUUCCUAGUAUUGUGACUUCACUGAAGCAGCAGUAGCAGCUCAACUCUCUUCCAGUCCCCUCCUUCCUACUCAACCCCCCUUUAAGCAUCUCAUUCACCGUAUGGUGUAGCUUUUUAACACUACCCCCAGCUGAGUAUAACACUUCAUGAAUAAUAGCAUUAGGAAGCAAGACUACAAAGUACUGCAAAUACAAGAACAGUUACAUCUACAGUGAUACAAAGCUUUAAACUAUUCUUUUUGCUCUGAAAUAAAAACUAGACUUUUGUGUAGGGAAGGACAAACGACACCACCGAAAAAUCCCCACACAGCAUUUUAUUCAAUUUCCUAUAGUUCUGUCAAGAAAUAAUAUUUGGUUUUGCUAUAUAGCCAUCACCAUGAUAAUGUUUAUGGAGGUUAGAGGAUGGAUUUCAAAAAUUAAUCAUAUCUGAGCUUGCACAUAUUUUCAGUAGAAAUAUAAUUUAAAGUGAUGUCUCUUAAAGAUUUUUACAACAACAGCAUUUAUAUCCAAUAUCUAAGCAUAUAUAGCUUAGAUUUCUAUUUAGUGAAAAUUAGUAUUCAGGUAGUGUUCUGAAACCAUAAGUACCACAUUUGUCUCAAAUGUCCAUUUUAUUGUGCAUUCAUGAUGAUUUGUGCUCAUGAUGAUAUCAGGGUGGUCACACGUGAUCCUGCUUUCGAUACUGUUUGUGCUUGCAAAGGUUUUGGGGUAGUCACACGGCUUCAUUUCUAAACAGUGCAUAUCCCAUCACUUCCUGCUGAUAUCCUGUAACUUGUUAUCCCACAAAUGUUCUGGUUUAUUUUUUACCUGUUUUUGGUGCAAUAAUGUGGAAGCAUUGGGGAAGCAUUGCAGAACAAGUAAUUAAGCAGAAUAAACCCACUACUGGUGCACUAUCACCAUGUCAAGAAUAGGCGUGCAACACUGGUGUCAGAAGUGGGGUUUCCUGGAGGAAGGGCCUGUGAGUAAGGUGCACCUGUGCUGAAAUAGGAGGAGAAAUAGCUACAGACCUUGAGCAGCUUGAGAGAAUAGAACAACAUCAGAACAAGCAGUUUGAGCAGAUGCUCUAGCAGCAGAAGUGGUGACAGAUCGAGCAGCAGAACCAGUUGUUUGAUAUAAUAGAGCCACGACUAGCAGAGUGGUAGGGAAGUCUCCAUGGAGUGGAAAGUGUGACUCCAUGCAACGUGCGAGCGUGCCUGAUGUGAUGCUACAGGGGGUUAAAAGUGACCCAGGAGCACAGCUGCAUGGCAUCCAGAGGGAAGGGGUGGCCAAAGAGAUCCAGAGCAUGGAUGGGCAGCUAUGAGGCUUGGACUCCAAAGGGCUGCAGUCAGUAGCUGAAGGCAAGGGAGAAGACAAUGCUUCAGAGAAGGGUGCACUGCCUGAAGCCAAGGAAAUGCUGAUUAAUUUCUCUACUCCUUGGGAGCCUGCUGUGGAAAAGGAGCAGGAGGGAUUGGGGGUGCCGGUAAGUGUGCAGUGGCUGUUGUUAAUUGAUUUCUUCACCCCCUGUGUGCUUUCUGUGGAAGAGAGGAAGCAGGAAGAAUCAGUGCCUGUGGAGAUGCCAGAAGAUGAGGUGUGUGAGAGAGAGAGGAAGAGGAAAGUAAAUUAAGCAAGGCCAUUAGGAAGACUACAGAGGAUCAAAGGGACGCUUUGCGAAAAAGCAAAUGGGUGAAGCCCCUCAAGAGCUUAGAGUUGAGAGGAGUUACAUGACGGGAAAGCAAAAAGGCAGAAGGCAGGGCAUGAUGGCUAAUAUCUAUUUGAAAGAGGCAAGACCCUCUUGGAGUGUAAUGUAAGGAACCCCUCUAUCAUAUGCUCUGGUUGUUAAUAUGUAUAAAUAAACCAUAUAUCUAAAGACA
Podarcis raffonei (Aeolian wall lizard) is the source of this 4218-nucleotide long non-coding RNA. RefSeq lists it as uncharacterized. The record is from RefSeq and is a predicted model, not a curated record. NCBI's taxonomy places the organism in Eukaryota, Metazoa, Chordata, Lepidosauria, Squamata, Lacertidae. The transcript has 3 exons.